RNAcentral lists this ribosomal RNA (353 nucleotides) under uncultured Oomycota. RNAcentral describes it as "eukaryotic LSU rRNA". The stretch from base 297 to 353 matches the Rfam family "Eukaryotic large subunit ribosomal RNA", at positions 1 to 57 of the family's 3401-position model. Lineage: Eukaryota; Oomycota. The record is from RNAcentral.
CGAAAAGCGUGGCAUUGCUGGUUGUAAAGGCUGUUCAUGUGACCAGUCGGCGAUCGGUUUGUCUGCUGUGGCGUUAAUGGAGGAGUGUUCGAUUCGCGGUAUGGUUGGCUUCGGCUGAACAGACGCUUAUUGGUCAUUCUUCUUGCUGUGGCGGUAUAACUGAUGAACCGUAGUCGUGUGUGACUUACCUUUUGAAUCGGCGUUGCUGUGCGAAGUAGAGUGACAGUUUCGGCUGUCGAGGGUCGACCCAUUUGGGAAAUUGUGCGGUGCGGCUUCGGUCGCGCGGCAUCUCAAUUGGACCUGAUAUCAGGCACGAUUACCCGCUGAACUUAAGCAUAUCAAUAAGCGGAGGA